Molecule: non-coding RNA, 210 nt
Organism: Cinara cedri
Lineage: Eukaryota; Metazoa; Arthropoda; Insecta; Hemiptera; Aphididae
Source: the annotation of a GenBank genome assembly
UGAAUUUGGACAUUUGGCACCGGUCAUAUUUUACUCUGGGUAUUUUUCUGCCGACAUAGACUUGAUAGAAUUUAUAUUUUAUACGAAAUAACAUGCACUAACUGACUGGCCGAUUCAUCAUCGCCUAGCCGGAACCGCAAUGCUAUGAGUAUGAAAUUUGGUUAUAGUUUCGUUUUAUGAUAUAGAGACCCAGUAAAAAAGUUUUGUCCA